This 72-nucleotide transfer RNA is filed under the name Dreissena polymorpha. RNAcentral's name for it is "transfer RNA glutamic acid (anticodon CUC)". It matches the Rfam family "tRNA". Rfam says of the family: Transfer RNA (tRNA) molecules are approximately 80 nucleotides in length. Their secondary structure includes four short double-helical elements and three loops (D, anti-codon, and T loops). Further hydrogen bonds mediate the characteristic L-shaped molecular structure. tRNAs have two regions of fundamental functional importance: the anti-codon, which is responsible for specific mRNA codon recognition, and the 3' end, to which the tRNAs corresponding amino acid is attached (by aminoacyl-tRNA synthetases). tRNAs cope with the degeneracy of the genetic code in two manners: having more than one tRNA (with a specific anti-codon) for a particular amino acid; and 'wobble' base-pairing, i.e. permitting non-standard base-pairing at the 3rd anti-codon position. Lineage: Eukaryota; Metazoa; Mollusca; Bivalvia; Myida; Dreissenidae. The record is from Rfam by way of RNAcentral.
UCCCAAGUGGUCUAGUGGUUAGGAUUCCACGCUCUCACCGAGGCGGCCGGGGUUCGAUUCCCCGCUUGGGAA